UGGGGAAUAUUGCACAAUGGGCGCAAGCCUGAUGCAGCCAUGCCGCGUGUAUGAAGAAGGCCUUCGGGUUGUAAAGUACUUUCAGCGGGGAGGAAGGGAGUAAGGUUAAUACCUUUGCUCAUUGACGUUACCCGCAGAAGAAGCACCGGCUAACUCCGUGCCAGCAGCCGCGGUAAUACGGAGGGUGCAAGCGUUAAUCGGAAUUACUGGGCGUAAAGCGCACGCAGGCGGUUUGUUAAGUCAGAUGUGAAAUCCCCGGGCUCAACCUGGGAACUGCAUCUGAUACUGGCAAGCUUGAGUCUCGUAGAGGGGGGUAGAAUUCCAGGUGUAGCGGUGAAAUGCGUAGAGAUCUGGAGGAAUACCGGUGGCGAAGGCGGCCCCCUGGACGAAGACUGACGCUCAGGUGCGAAAGCGUGGGGAGCAAACAGG
RNAcentral lists this ribosomal RNA (429 nucleotides) under Chloroflexota bacterium. RNAcentral describes it as "Chloroflexi bacterium partial 16S ribosomal RNA". It matches the Rfam family "Bacterial small subunit ribosomal RNA", at positions 355 to 776 of the family's 1533-position model. Lineage: Bacteria; Bacillati; Chloroflexota. The record is from RNAcentral.